GCCUAUCUAGCUCAGUCGGUAGAGCAAUCGGCUGUUAACCGAUCGGUCGUAGGUUCGAGUCCUACGAUAGGCGCCA
Molecule: transfer RNA, 76 nt
Filed under: Erysipelotrichaceae bacterium
Lineage: Bacteria; Bacillati; Bacillota; Erysipelotrichia; Erysipelotrichales; Erysipelotrichaceae
Description: tRNA-Asn
Rfam family: tRNA
About the family: Transfer RNA (tRNA) molecules are approximately 80 nucleotides in length.
Source: RNAcentral